UUUUGAACAAAUUUGGUCCAUAGAAUUAAAGUCGAAAUUAUACCCAUUUGUAAUGACUGGAAAUGAAUAGUCAUUUUUGUUUAUCUUUGUUUAGCAUAUUCCAAAGAGCGGCGACAACAAACUUUUGAAAAAAAUUGGUAUCUGAUGAUUAUUCAUCUUUUAUAUACUAGGUUAUGUGAAAUAUCCGUCACUGUCAAUCAAAAAUAUUGGUUUGUCAACUUGUUCUUGAAAGUUAUUUCGAAAAGCGUUAGAUAAUGCCUAAAAAAAUAUAUAAUAGGUAUAAUGAACAAUCGCAGCUGAUGAUUUUAAAUAUAUUGGCUUUUUUUCAACUGGAAAAGGAACAAGUCCGAAACGGAAUUGCACUUCAAAUUGAGAAUGUGAUACAGCGAGCCGCAGAUGCAACAAAAUUGAGCACAACAACGAUCGCAAAUAUAAAGAAGAAUGGGAUAAAAUCAGAUCAGAAUUACGCAGCCCGUAUAUCUUCCAAGCAAAAGACAGCAAAAACCAAAAUUACAACAUAUUUGAAACAUAGAAUUUGGGACACAAUUUAUUCUAUGUACGCCAGAAAAGAAUAUGUAAUAUUGGCAACAAUAAGAGAAAAGUUCAGGGAAGGAAUUAAAUAUUUUGAGUUUUCCAUUGACUCUUUAAGAAGAUGGAUCAAUAGUAUAGGCUUCAAGUGGAAAAAAUCAAAUAACAGAAAAUAUUUGAUGGACUUCCCAAAUAUUGUUCAUAAAAGAAUCAAUUUUUUAAGGGAGUAUAUCAAAAAUAGAAAUCUAGGUCCGGAAGGUUUUACUCCAGUUUUCAUUGACGAGACGUGGAUUUUUAGCAAGGGAUCAUUUCGUAGUAGCUGGCAAGAUGACACCAAGCACACGGAUUCAAGGAAAAACAGUGAAGGUCAUCGUUAUAUCGUGGGCCACGACGGAACCAAGUGGUGGCUUCAUCAAGGGUGCAAAUUUAAUAUUCAAGAGUGGAUUAAAGACGGGAGAUUAUCAUGACAGUAUGAACAGGAAAAACUUCGAAAACUGGUUUAAAACUCAGCUGGUUCCAAAUCUUCCCCCAAAGUCAUUUAUAAUCAUGGACAAUGCAAGUUACCAUUCUGGUUUAUUAGAAGAAAUCCCGAGAAAAUCUUGGACAAAGCAGAGACUGACCGAAUGGUUGAAGAAAAAGAAUAUUGGCUCUCCAGAAAAAGCCAUGAAAGAUAAAAUAUGGAGUAUUGCACGCAGAAACUGCCCUAGUGGAAAAAAGUACUUCCUUGAUGAAUAUGUUAAACCUUUAGGACACACGAUUUUGCGACUGCCACCAUAUCAUUGCCAGUUUAAUGCAAUUGAAAUGGUAUGGUAUGGUCGGAAUGUAAACGAAAAUAUGAUCAAUAUAUUUUCAAUUUUAAGGGGUCACCUUCAGAAGUUCUGACUACAUGGGAAAGGGUAAUAAACGAAAUUUCUAUAGAUCAUUGGCAAAAAUAUGUUUUCCAUACAGAAAAGGUAAUUGAAAAGGCUUGGGAGGCAAUACAAGUAUGUGAUGCCUAUGACAUUCUGCCACUUGUGAUGACGACUGACGAAGACGACGAUGACGAAGACAAUAUCUCUGAUAUCAGUUCUGACUCUGACAAUACUGACGAGAUUAAGCUUUUUUUGUUCUAGCAAAUUUUGUUUUAUGAUCGUCGUUUAAGUAUUCAAUCAUAUCGUUGCAAUUUCAUUAAUUUGGUAAUGCAAUAUGGCGUGUUUUUUUUUGAGUUUGUAUAUUUUAUUUUUUGGAAUGGUAUUUUCAUUUUAAUGUGUUAACAUAUUCCUUCAAGCAGCAUUUUUUUUCAUGAACAAGUAAAUUAAAUUGUCAGUAUUUAAAUUUUUCCCAGUGAGUUAAAAUAAUUUUAUACCAUUAUUCACAAUUUUUGUAAGCUCGGUUUUGUUACGCCUAAUGCUCGUGCCGAAUUCUACUUUUCAAAUAUGUUGUAGAUUUGGUUUUUGCGGUCUUUUGCUUGGAAAAUAUAUGAGCAGCGUAAUCCUGAUUUUAUCCCAUUCUUCUUUAUAUUUGCGAUCGUUGUUGUGCUCAAUUUUGUUGGAUCUGCGGCUCGCUCUAUCACAUUCUCAAUUUGAAGUGCAAUUCCGUUUCGGACUUGUUGUUUAUGUCCCAUUAUUUAUGAUUAAUUAUAAUAAUAUUUGUUAAUUGUUAAGUUUGUUAAUAAUACAAUAAAUACUACAAGAUUUUUUUUAAAUUUUUUGGGAAUGAAAGUAUAUACACGAAUAUAAAAAUAUAAUAAUAUGCUGCUAAAAUAAAUCAUUUGUUAUUUUUUAACGUAUAAAAAUACAUAGCAGACUAUUAAUUUCUGAAGGCGAUGGUAAAGUUUCUAACCUAAUAUUGAUUGGCAAAAAUAUCUACGCCAUACGUUUUUUCUCACCUGGAUGACGUAACUACAAAUGGGUAUAAUUUCGACUAUACUUUGCUAAUAUUUAGGACGUGACAUCUGUAAUCGUAUUCAAAUGUACUUUCCCUUGUUAGGUUUUUUUUUGAAUUAUAAUUAUUGCAAUUUUUUGAUAUUCGACUUGUCAUUAGGGUCCUAACUCCCUGACAGGGUAUUUCUGGAUAACCGAGGCUGAGAUUGUUUAUGGAACACCGUGCCGAUACCUUAUGUCUCCAUGGAAAUUAACCAAGAGGCCCUGUUUAUCCUGGGUCAACAUAGACGACCUAGAAAACCUGUGUCGUAACAUGCUUGAAACAUCAACACGAGCAGACAUGCGAUGCAACCUCAGCAGCACCUUCGAUUGUUGAUAUUUCGCAAAUGAAGUGGAAUGCAACGUCUAACGAAUUUAUUGCAUUAUAUAUAUUUAAAUAAUUUUAUAUUUUUAGUUAAAUAUGUAGCUAAGUUUAUGCUAAAUAAAUAUACAUUAUUAUAUUAA
This is a long non-coding RNA of Anthonomus grandis grandis, 2894 nucleotides long. RefSeq lists it as uncharacterized. The record is from RefSeq and is a predicted model, not a curated record. Lineage: Eukaryota; Metazoa; Arthropoda; Insecta; Coleoptera; Curculionidae. The transcript has 2 exons.